CUCAGUUCGGAUCGGAGUCUGCAACCCGACUCCGUGAAGCUGGAUUCGCCAGUAAUCGCGCAUCAGCCAUGGCGCGGUGAAUACGUUCCCGGGCCUUGUACACACCGCCCGUCAAGCCAUGGAAGCCGGGGGCGCUUGAAGUGCGUUGCCGCAAGGCGCGCCCUAGAGCGAAACCGGUGACUGGGGCUAAGUCGUAACAAGGUAAC
RNAcentral lists this ribosomal RNA (206 nucleotides) under uncultured bacterium. RNAcentral's name for it is "partial 16S ribosomal RNA". It matches the Rfam family "Bacterial small subunit ribosomal RNA", at positions 1287 to 1500 of the family's 1533-position model. The record is from RNAcentral.